GAAGUGGUCCAGCGUUCACGUCUCAACCACAAUCGAAAAUUACAGGUGAAUGUGUCAAUGUUCAUUGAUUCAUUCAAUGCUAAGAUAUACAUAUGCAUCGUUUGACAUGAAUUGCUAUAGCCUGAGUUGUCGUUGUUAUUUGUUAUAUGUGUGACGGUACAAGAAUGAUGACAGCAAUAAUUAAGGAAUUAUUGAAUAAUGAUGUGGCGGUGGAGUUAGGUUAAGGAGCAGUAAUAGUACGAAAAUUUCUUGGUUAUUUCUCUUUUGUUAAGGUUAGAUUAAGUUAGUGUAAAAGAUGAUAAUUAUUAUAAUAUUGAAGUUGUUAUUCUGUAAAUCUUGUUUCACAAUUGUCAUUCAUUAACUUAACAUGACAAUGUAUAAUGAAUUGGAAAAAGGGAUAACAGGAAGAAAACUGUGUACCCAGUAUUUUGUCUUUAUUAAAAGGAAAAAAGAAAAAUUAGUAUUAUGAUAUGUAUGUCCUUAUUAAGAACAAGAAACAGUGGUACAAAAGUUACUUUCGUCCUUUUUGUUUUAAAAUUAGUCAGAAUUGUUAAUAGGCAAGGAAUGUUAUUAGAUUCGUACUCUUAUGGAAAUUAUAUAUAUUGGAACAGAUUUUGAACGUUUUGAAAUUUUGAGGAAGGGCAAGGUGUUUACAAAUUAGCUUGUAUUUGGAUUCUUCGAUUGAGGUAGGUUACGGUUUAAUUAGAGUUUAGACUCAAUUUAAUUGUGUGUAUGCUCCUAAAUUGGAUACUUGUUGAUUGAUAUUUGGACAUGCUUGAAAUUGAUGAUGUUUAGAUUGUUGAGGCGUGUAUAAAUGAUUGUUGAAAAUUUACUUGAUGAAAUUGUCUUAUGACUUUAAGUGUACUUGUAAAUUUGGUACAUCGUAUUGUAUGUUGUGAGGUAGUGUAAAUUUGACAUUGAUGAUGGAUCAGGUACCACGCCGGUACGGAUAUGCAUAUUGAUAUUACUUGUUUAUGGUGGAUUGGGUACCACGCCGGUACGGAUAUGUUUAUGGUGGAUCGGGUACCACCCCGGUACGGAUAUGUAUAUUGAUAUUACUUGUUUAUGAUUGAUAGGGUACCACGUCGAUACGGAUAUGUAUAUGGUGGAUCGGGUACCACACCGGUACGAAUAUUUAUAUGGUGGAUCGGGUACCACGCCAGACGGAUAUGUAUAUGGUGGAUCGGAUACCACGCCGGUAUAGAUAUGUAUAUUGAUAUUACUUGUUUAUGGAGGAUCGGGUACCACGCUGGUACGAAUAUGUAUAUUGAUAUUACUUGUUUAUGGAGGAUCGGGUACCACGCUGGUACGAAUAUGUAUAUUGAUAUUACUUGUUUAUGGAGGAUCGGGUACCACGCUGGUACAGAGAUGAUAUUGAUAUUACUUGUUACUGAGGAUCGGGUAUCACGCCGGUAUGAUAUAUGAACAUAGAUUGUUCCCUGCACGUCAUGACUAUUUGGGCAAAAAUAAGUCUCAUAGCAUGUGUGUACAUAUUUGUGUUGAUUCUGUGGAUGUUUACAUUAUGGUUGAUACUUUUGAUGGUUAUGUGGCUUGUUUGUGAGUGUUGUUUGACCUGUUGUUGCUGUAUUGUUUAUUCAUAGAAUGUUUAUUAUGUGACAAUGUCUGUCUACGUGCUAUUUGAUUUAUGUUGUGUACAUACUAUUAAAUUGAGUUGGCCUGUGAUACCUACCAGUACAUAGUGGUUUGUACUGAUACUACCCUUUACUCUUCUUUUGUUGAGUGCAGAAAGUGUUCCAAAGGCUCAGACAUGACCUCCCCUCCAGAGUUUGAUAGCAGAUCUUGAUUCAAGGGUGAGCAUCCGUCUCCAUAACUGUCAUGGGUCAUCCUAUUUGUUCUUGUCCAUCUUUCGGGCAAUGAAACAUUUUUUAUUUACUCUAUUUUUGGAUAUCUCUUUUAGAUAUGAUCUUUGUUCGGAGUUCUUGUACGAUGAUUUUCGGGUCUUGGGGAUUUUAGCAAGUAGUUUGUUUGAUUUCCGCAUUACUAAUGAUUAGCUCCGAAUUAUUAUUCUAAGGUGGUGUUAUGAUGAUAUCGUUUUAAUAUUGACUAAGUGAUUGGGUAAUGGUUGAGUUUAGAUGGUUCUCCUACAGAAAGAUUAGUGUGGGUGUCACUCAUGGCCAUUUGGGUCGUGACAUAUAAAUAUAUAUAUAUAUAUAUAUAUAUAUAUAAUAUUAAUAAACUCACCAAGCAUCUUAUACCAUCAAACACUACGUAUUAGAGAUCAAAAUAACAUAACAUCCAUAAUGGCGAACUAGAAACUUAAGCUAAGACUAGUCUUGCCCAAUUGAUCUACAACUUAUUGUUUUGACUUCUGGAUUGAUUCAAUUGAAAUUUUAACAUUAUAAAUAAUUUUUUCCAUACAUAAUUAUAUAUAUAUAUUAAAAGUGUAAAGGACUUUAGAAAUGUUAUUUGAACUUUUUGCCCUUUAUUAAAAGACUCCGUUUUAGAUAAAAUCGUCUUUUUAUAAUUUUCUUCAAUUAUUAUUUUAUUAAAUUAAGGAAUCUUAAAUUAUAGGGGACGAACCUUACUAAAAUAAAUAUAUGAAAAUAAAUAAAUAUAUAAGUUCUAAAAUAUAUGGAAAGAAAUUAGAGGUCAUAUAGAGAGAGAGAUAGAUCGAUAUAUAGAUAGAGAGAGAAUUAAAAGUCCAAUUCUAUGUAACUAUUAAUAUUUUGCAAACAGUAAUUACUAAUAAUAUGAAAGUGUUAAGCUCCUUUGAGCAACGUUAAUUUACACAAAUUACUUUUUAAAAAUAAUUUGUAUAAAAAGAAAGAGAAGUAUGAAAGUUUUAAAGUAUCUCGUGCGUGGUUUGUUUCUUUUUGUUUAAAAAAGGGCAUAGAAGUAGAAUUCUAAUCAAAUACUAUCUUUGAAUUUUGAUGUCUAGAUAAGAUCGACUUUUAAUUCUUUGUACUCAACAUUGUUAUUUGAGAUCCUCUUUUUUAUGUCUGGCUAUAUAUUUCUUUCAAAUCCUCGUGGGAGCUUGAAAGAAGAUUAAGAUGAAUAAUUUGUUAGACACCUUAUUGAAAAUUUAUUUCAAUUAUUUUUCUUUUUAUGUGGUUUUUCAUGUUAUAAUGUGAUGUUAGAUUCAUUAUGAAAAAUUUAUUUUAACUAUUUUCUUUUAUGUGUUUUUUCAUGCUCAAAGCAUUGAUGAGAUCAAUAAUUGAAACAAAAAAUAGAAAAUAUUUUAUGAUGGAGAUCAACAUAUCUAACUACUUUCUUUUUUAUGUAGUUUUUCAUGCUCGGAGAAUCAAGAGGAUCUACAAUUAAAACUGAUAGCUAAUUGAUGGAGAUCAAAAGCAUAUCUUAAGAGUGAUUCAACUAGAUACAACAAAUCAAUUGACUCAGGAUGAGUAAUGAAAGAAUUUAAAACAUUGGUUGAUUCUUACAAAAUCAAAGAUGAAGAAAAUCCAAUGCCUCGACCUUCAUACCCAUUUGUGGAGUUGGAUUUCUACGAAAUCUUUUGCUUAUAUAUUUUUUUUUAUCAUAUCAAUUAGCAAUGUUGACUGUGAGAUCAAAAAAAAAUUAUGACCGAUAAUUAUGUCGGAAGCUUCUUUAUUCAAAAAUUGUAUUCAGUAUUUAAUAUUAUUUUCGCUAUUUGAAAAAGCUAUAAAAAAUAGAAAAAAGUUUUAUAUUAAUACAAACUAUUAUGAA
This 3666-nucleotide long non-coding RNA is filed under the name Capsicum annuum. RNAcentral's name for it is "long non-coding RNA (CANN_LNC019601)". The record is from RNAcentral. Lineage: Eukaryota; Viridiplantae; Streptophyta; Magnoliopsida; Solanales; Solanaceae.